AGAGUUUGAUCCUGGCUCAGAUUGAACGCUGGCGGCAGGCCUAACACAUGCAAGUCGAACGGUAACAGGAAGCAGCUUGCUGCUUUGCUGACGAGUGGCGGACGGGUGAGUAAUGUCUGGGAAACUGCCUGAUGGAGGGGGAUAACUACUGGAAACGGUGGCUAAUACCGCAUAACGUCGCAAGACCAAAGAGGGGGACCUUCGGGCCUCUUGCCAUCAGAUGUGCCCAGAUGGGAUUAGCUUGUUGGUGAGGUAACGGCUCACCAAGGCGACGAUCCCUAGCUGGUCUGAGAGGAUGACCAGCCACACUGGAACUGAGACACGGUCCAGACUCCUACGGGAGGCAGCAGUGGGGAAUAUUGCACAAUGGGCGCAAGCCUGAUGCAGCCAUGCCGCGUGUAUGAAGAAGGCCUUCGGGUUGUAAAGUACUUUCAGCGGGGAGGAAGGUGUUGUGGUUAAUAACCGCAGCAAUUGACGUUACCCGCAGAAGAAGCACCGGCUAACUCCGUGCCAGCAGCCGCGGUAAUACGGAGGGUGCAAGCGUUAAUCGGAAUUACUGGGCGUAAAGCGCACGCAGGCGGUCUGUCAAGUCGGAUGUGAAAUCCCCGGGCUCAACCUGGGAACUGCAUUCGAAACUGGCAGGCUUGAGUCUUGUAGAGGGGGGUAGAAUUCCAGGUGUAGCGGUGAAAUGCGUAGAGAUCUGGAGGAAUACCGGUGGCGAAGGCGGCCCCCUGGACAAAGACUGACGCUCAGGUGCGAAAGCGUGGGGAGCAAACAGGAUUAGAUACCCUGGUAGUCCACGCCGUAAACGAUGUCUACUUGGAGGUUGUGCCCUUGAGGCGUGGCUUCCGGAGCUAACGCGUUAAGUAGACCGCCUGGGGAGUACGGCCGCAAGGUUAAAACUCAAAUGAAUUGACGGGGGCCCGCACAAGCGGUGGAGCAUGUGGUUUAAUUCGAUGCAACGCGAAGAACCUUACCUGGUCUUGACAUCCACAGAACUUUCCAGAGAUGGACUGGUGCCUUCGGGAACUGUGAGACAGGUGCUGCAUGGCUGUCGUCAGCUCGUGUUGUGAAAUGUUGGGUUAAGUCCCGCAACGAGCGCAACCCUUAUCCUUUGUUGCCAGCGGUUAGGCCGGGAACUCAAAGGAGACUGCCAGUGAUAAACUGGAGGAAGGUGGGGAUGACGUCAAGUCAUCAUGGCCCUUACGACCAGGGCUACACACGUGCUACAAUGGCGCAUACAAAGAGAAGCGACCUCGCGAGAGCAAGCGGACCUCAUAAAGUGCGUCGUAGUCCGGAUUGGAGUCUGCAACUCGACUCCAUGAAGUCGGAAUCGCUAGUAAUCGUGGAUCAGAAUGCCACGGUGAAUACGUUCCCGGGCCUUGUACACACCGCCCGUCACACCAUGGGAGUGGGUUGCAAAAGAAGUAGGUAGCUUAACCUUCGGGAGGGCGCUUACCACUUUGUGAUUCAUGACUGGGGUGAAGUCGUAACAAGGUAACC
Molecule: ribosomal RNA, 1503 nt
Filed under: Salmonella sp.
Lineage: Bacteria; Pseudomonadati; Pseudomonadota; Gammaproteobacteria; Enterobacterales; Enterobacteriaceae
Description: bacterial SSU rRNA
Rfam family: Bacterial small subunit ribosomal RNA
Source: RNAcentral